UGAAAUCCUCCUGCCUCAAACUCUCAAAUAUCUGGGAUUACAGCUGACUGUACAAGUUCUCCCUGGGAGCAGAUUUCAGAACAAAAGUGAUCUAUAAACAGCACGAAAUGUGGAUUGCAUGGGUGAGGACAAAAGCUGCUGGAAGUGGAAAGAAGAGGGGUCAUAUGUGUCCUCCUACAGUUAUUCCACCUGAGUUAAAAGAAUGGAACAUUGGCACAUUCCAGAUCUAAGUGGAUAUUACCUUUCAGUCAUGAAUGUGAAUGCUUCAAAGCUUAUUUAAAUAUAUGCCAAAAUUUAUUUCAUUAUUCAAGAAAUAUUUAUGGAACACCUACUAUGUGUCAGUUCUAGGCACUGGGAAUAUAGCAGAACACAUAAACAAAAUCCUUGCUGUCCUGAAACUUACAGUGGUAAGUGGUGUAAUAGGAAGAUUAAAAAAAGAUUGUUUAUUCUAUGUAAAAUUGUUAAUUUUAUCAAAUGGUAUUAUUGCUUUUUUGAGUCUUUUAAAACCAAAUAAAUUUAAAUAUUUAAGAACAACAUUUUGUUGUGUAUGAAAGCCUGGAUAUAAACCUACAUAAUAUUUUGAGCUUUUUAUUCAGCAUUGUUCUAGAUAUGUUCCCACUGCAGCUAAUAAUGAGACAUAAAUAAGUAGUAUUUACAAGAAUGUUUGCACAGUCACUAUUGUAUAUAUAUAUAUAUAUUUGCUGAGAUAAAUUGUUAAUCAGUUAAAUGAAAAGUUAUGUUUGUGUGCYUUUAUAUUGCAUAUUAUUUACAUUCAAAUUAUUUGCAUAUGAUACAAAAGUAAACUUUAUUAUUUGAGAUUUUGAUCAGGUUUAUACCUCUCUAAGUACUGCUAAAUWUAGUUUAUUUAUGUUUAUAUUAUAUGUAUUCCUAAACAAAUGCUGUAAAGACUUUAAAAGAACAAGCUAUAUUUAAAUGUAAACAU
Urocitellus parryii (Arctic ground squirrel) is the source of this 943-nucleotide non-coding RNA. NCBI's taxonomy places the organism in Eukaryota, Metazoa, Chordata, Mammalia, Rodentia, Sciuridae. The record is from RefSeq and is a predicted model, not a curated record.